CUGGAAGGAAAGGCGGCCAAUGGAGGUGUUGGCUGAAGUACUGAAACAUAAGUAAGGCUCGGUUUUUUGCAGAAGCAAGGAGGUUACAACUGUUCAGAAUGGUGAUAUGAUAUCAGGUUAUGAUGAAUAAGUUGACUGUUUAUGGAUGUUAUAGGUAAAGAUCUCUGGGUGAGUGAGUGUGCAGAGACUCUGGGCCAUUGUGAGCUGUCUUCACAGGAGAAACCAGCCAGUCCAGCACUACUGGUGGAUGUGACCUUACUGGCUUGGAAACACUCAAAGCUGGCAUAGGAGUGCAAUGUGUGAGUUGGAUUACACCUCCAGAACCCAAUUCAGACUACUCUCCUCCCAU
RNAcentral lists this long non-coding RNA (349 nucleotides) under Hucho hucho (huchen). RNAcentral's name for it is "Nuclear RNase P (ENSHHUG00000023312.1)". It matches the Rfam family "Nuclear RNase P", at positions 85 to 301 of the family's 301-position model. From Rfam's summary of the family: Ribonuclease P (RNase P) is a ubiquitous endoribonuclease, found in archaea, bacteria and eukarya as well as chloroplasts and mitochondria. Its best characterised activity is the generation of mature 5'-ends of tRNAs by cleaving the 5'-leader elements of precursor-tRNAs. Lineage: Eukaryota; Metazoa; Chordata; Actinopteri; Salmoniformes; Salmonidae. The record is from Rfam by way of RNAcentral.